RNAcentral lists this long non-coding RNA (383 nucleotides) under Salvia miltiorrhiza (redroot sage). RNAcentral describes it as "long non-coding RNA (SMIL_LNC009502)". Lineage: Eukaryota; Viridiplantae; Streptophyta; Magnoliopsida; Lamiales; Lamiaceae. The record is from RNAcentral.
GCGACUCACUUUCCUUUAUAAAGAAGGAAAAAGAAAAUUGUAGAAAACACAAUACAAUCAUUAGUUAGUAGCCUCUUCAUAAAAUUAUUUAAGGCCACUAUCUUAGGGCGAAAAAUAUUGGCCUAUUUUUGCAAACCACCCUAAGAUAGUGGACUUAAAUAAUUUUAAACUCUAAAAGUAAAUGACAGCUAAAAUGAUUAAAUAUAUAGAAUACCACUCCAUCUUCGUCUUUCCAUUUGGCUGCAUGUUUUCAAGUUUUGGUGAAUCAUCUCCACUAUGAUUACUGCAGCUUAUGCUGAGAGGAACAUCGCAUAACCCUGUGUUUCCUAUAUAUGAAUCAUUCGAAAAUGUUGCAAACUGAUUACCACUUGGGAUCUUUCCCA